CAGCAAUUGCAGCCACAGCAAGCUGAGCUUCAGAAGGCCCUUCCCCAAAUGGUGUCGGCACCCGAGCAAAACAGUCUAUCCGUCGGAACACCAUAAAGAUAGACCAAGAACAGUCUGUUCAUCAGGUACUUCUGAUGAAAGCUCCUCUGUAGCAACUCAUAGACACCACAUAAGAGGAAAAACAUCUCAAGGAGGAAGAAUAAACGAGAAGAACUGUCUUUACCUGAAAAUGACAACCUAGAACAGACAUGGUGACAAAUGUCUCCAAGUCACACAGGAUGGUCCCGGCUUUGAGUGGCGUGAGGCUCUCCUGUUACUAUUUCCCAUUCCAGCAUUGACAUAUUUUAUUACUAAUUGCUUCUUCAAACCUCAUCAAUGAUCUUUUGCACUUUCUGCAAAGAAAUGUUGAAAGCUUUUAAUGAAGAAAUUAAUUAUGUAUAGUCUUGAAUGCAAAUGAGACUCAUUAAUUGUAGCAUUGAUACCCUCUCCUAGCACAAACUAUGAGAACUGGCAUUAUACAUAUUUAUAAGGUACCGUACAUUUUGACAGAUGCCUGCAGACUGUGAUGAAAAGGUGGUCAAGGUGUCUGAAAGGACGCCUUCUCUCUGACAGAUGCAUGCGCCGCGUUUCGUGAGAAGUUUGGUUCGGUUGUCAGCAAUAGUGACUUUAGAAUGUUGAGACAUGAAAACUUUGGGCAUAAAAUGAAUUUUCCCCCCAAAUGGAAAACUUGAGUGGAGUGGAGAUGAUUGGAACCAGGAUUGACUGUUUCCUGGGAAAAUACGUCUGAGGGUUCCUGGUGCCUGCCGUGUGAUUGUCCAAGAGCCAUUCUCAUCAAAGCCGGAUGGCGGAGUGUUGGAAUUCGCCUCUUUCAUGCCCGAGAAUAGAGUCAACCUCUGGAUGAUCACCCCUGGGCCACUAGGAAACAACAUUCUGCUUCACAGAGGUCUGUGCUAAACAAAGACCCCGGUAGGGAGAAAGUGGGCACAAUAGUUUGUUGCUUCUCCCGUCAAGAAAUAGUGUUCAUUGGCCCACCCUUCUGAUCUUGGCUUGGUCAUGUGACUUUCAUUGGCCAAUGAGUCCUCAGCCACCAUGAUACAAGCAGAAGACUGCAAAGUGCUUCUUCCCUGGGUUUACCAUCCCUUGCUUCUGCAGAAAACCUUUCU
Molecule: long non-coding RNA, 1163 nt
Filed under: Sus scrofa (pig)
Lineage: Eukaryota; Metazoa; Chordata; Mammalia; Artiodactyla; Suidae
Description: lncRNA (ENSSSCG00045019464.1)
Source: RNAcentral